CUUUGCCCAGAGUGGAUGGAACGUGCCAGAAGUUGGGGAUCAAGGGGUUUGUGAACUCUCCUGCCACUUCAGUAUCCUUGUAUGGAUGAGAGCCACAGCAGAUGGAAGACGCCUUCUGACCAAAGGCCUGGGAUAACAGAAGAAAUUGGGCAAUCUUUUGUGAUUGUUGUAAACGAGACUUUGUGACCAUUGCUGGAUGUUUUCAGCACCCAUCUCGAGCAUGGACCAACUGAUCCUCCUUUGGCAAUCAGCACUGCGAACCCUAUUAUGCAGAUGAAGAAACUGAGGCAACGAACAGCACUCCAGGGGCACAGAGAAAGUUGUGAUGAAAUUUAGGUUAGAGGUCAAAGUUGUGCCCCACUGAGGGGAAAAGUGAGGGGGUAUCACAGAAAUUCCUUAGCCUUGGGCUUGCUCUGACAUUCCUUUAGGCUUCCGCUUCUUUCUUCUUCUGGCUGAAGAGGACUCAUUGGGAUCUCAGAGCACAAUGCACAGA
Molecule: long non-coding RNA, 493 nt
Filed under: Equus caballus (horse)
Lineage: Eukaryota; Metazoa; Chordata; Mammalia; Perissodactyla; Equidae
Description: lncRNA (ENSECAG00000039254.2)
Source: RNAcentral